CAGCUCCUCUCCACUCACCGCUCAUCGUCACUCAUCGCCAUCACAACUCCACCCAAAAGAACAUCGGCCCACCACCAUUAACUCCACCUCGGCGAACACCACCACCACCACUCUCAUCUCUUUUUUUCACUGACUUUCACGACGAGCAACAACAUUUGAACUUGUGGUCUGAUCUUCUUUCUUCUAUUGUUUGACUUUCGGUUGCAAGUAGCAGUCAAAGAACUCAAAGAACCAUAGAGCAAGAUCCACUAAAUUAUGGAUCAACGUCAAAGUAGCACGGAAAGAGUCUUAGAGCAAGAGCAAUGCAAUUGUAAGUGUAUUUGACUUCGUGUCUUUGAAAUGUAUGCUAAUUGGGACUGUAUGUGUUGUAUGCAUAUGAAUUUGGGCUGAAU
This is a long non-coding RNA of Lathyrus oleraceus (garden pea), 392 nucleotides long. RefSeq lists it as uncharacterized. The record is from RefSeq and is a predicted model, not a curated record. The transcript is spliced from 3 exons. Lineage: Eukaryota; Viridiplantae; Streptophyta; Magnoliopsida; Fabales; Fabaceae.